AAUGAACGCUGGCGGCAUGGAUUAGGCAUGCAAGUCGAACGGGGCGCCCUCGGGCGCCUAGUGGCGAAAGGGUGAGUAACACGUGAGCAACCUGCCCCCGAGUCCGGAAUAAGCGGUGGAAACGCCGUCUAAUGCCGGAUGCGGACCGCGGCCUCCUGGCCGCGGCUCCAAGGAUUUAUCGCUUGGGGAUGGGCUCGCGCCCCAUUAACUAGUUGGCGGGGUAAGCGCCCACCAAGGCUACGACGGGUAGGUGGACUGAGAGGUUGGUCACCCACACUGGGACUGAGACACUGCCCAGACUCCUACGGGAGGCUGCAGUCGAGAAUCUUCCGCAAUGGGCGAAAGCCUGACGGAGCGAUGCCGCGUGAGGGAAGAAUGCCUUCGGGUUGUAAACCUCUGUCACCCGGGACGAAGCAAUGACGGUACCGGGAGAGGAAGUCACGGCUAACUACGUGCCAGCAGCCGCGGUAACACGUAGGUGGCGAGCGUUAUUCGGAUUCACUGGGCGUAAAGGGUCCGCAGGGGGCCUGCAAGUCUUGUC
RNAcentral lists this ribosomal RNA (541 nucleotides) under uncultured bacterium. RNAcentral describes it as "bacterial SSU rRNA". It matches the Rfam family "Bacterial small subunit ribosomal RNA", at positions 28 to 594 of the family's 1533-position model. The record is from RNAcentral.